RNAcentral lists this ribosomal RNA (489 nucleotides) under uncultured bacterium. Its description in RNAcentral is "partial 16S ribosomal RNA". It matches the Rfam family "Bacterial small subunit ribosomal RNA", at positions 28 to 507 of the family's 1533-position model. The record is from RNAcentral.
GACGAACGCUGGCGGCGUGCUUAACACAUGCAAGUCGAACGGUGAAGGGAUCAGCUUGCUGGUUCUGGAUGAGUGGCGAACGGGUGAGUAACACGUGAGUAACCUGCCCCCUUCUUCUGGAUAACCGCAUGAAAGGGUGGCUAAUACGGGAUAUUCUGGGUCUGUCGCAUGAUGGGUCUGGGAAAGAUAUUGUUUCGGUGGGGGAUGGGCUCGCGGCCUAUCAGCUUGUUGGUGGGGUGAUGGCCUACCAAGGCGGUGACGGGUAGCCGGCCUGAGAGGGUGGACGGUCACACUGGGACUGAGACACGGCCCAGACUCCUACGGGAGGCAGCAGUGGGGAAUAUUGCACAAUGGGCGCAAGCCUGAUGCAGCGACGCCGCGUGAGGGAUGGAGGCCUUCGGGUUGUAAACCUCUUUCGCCAGUGAAGCAGGCCUGCUCCGUGUGGGUGGGUUGACGGUAGCUGGAGAAGAAGCGCCGGCUAACUACGUG